RNAcentral lists this ribosomal RNA (467 nucleotides) under uncultured bacterium. Its description in RNAcentral is "partial 16S ribosomal RNA". It matches the Rfam family "Bacterial small subunit ribosomal RNA", at positions 29 to 507 of the family's 1533-position model. The record is from RNAcentral.
ACGAACGCUGGCGGCGUGCUUAACACAUGCCAGUCGAACGGAAAGGCCCUGCUUUUGUGGGGUGCUCGAGUGGCGAACGGGUGAGUAACACGUGAGUAACCUGCCCUUGACUUUGGGAUAACUUCAGGAAACUGGGGCUAAUACCGGAUAGGAGCUCCUGCUGCAUGGUGGGGGUUGGAAAGUUUCGGCGGUUGGGGAUGGACUCGCGGCUUAUCAGCUUGUUGGUGGGGUAGUGGCUUACCAAGGCUUUGACGGGUAGCCGGCCUGAGAGGGUGACCGGCCACAUUGGGACUGAGAUACGGCCCAGACUCCUACGGGAGGCAGCAGUGGGGAAUAUUGCACAAUGGGCGGAAGCCUGAUGCAGCUACGCCGCGUGCGGGAUGACGGCCUUCGGGUUGUAAACCGCUUUCGCCUGUGACGAAGCGUGAGUGACGGUAAUGGGUAAAGAAGCACCGGCUAACUACGUG